This 516-nucleotide ribosomal RNA is filed under the name uncultured bacterium. Its description in RNAcentral is "bacterial SSU rRNA". It matches the Rfam family "Bacterial small subunit ribosomal RNA", at positions 791 to 1317 of the family's 1533-position model. The record is from RNAcentral.
UAGUCCACGCCGUAAACGAUGAUCACUAGAUAUUGGCUUCGGUCAGUGUCCAAGCGAAAGUGUUAAGUGAUCCACCUGGGGAGUACGCCGGCAACGGUGAAACUCAAAGGAAUUGACGGGGGCCCGCACAAGCGGUGGAGCAUGUGGUUUAAUUCGAUGAUACGCGAGGAACCUUACCAGGGCUUAAAUGCAGAACGACCGGUCUGGAAACAGACCUUUCUUCGGACGGACUGCAAGGUGCUGCAUGGUUGUCGUCAGCUCGUGCCGUGAGGUGUCGGGUUAAGUCCCAUAACGAGCGCAACCCCCACCGUUAGUUGCCAGCAUGUUAUGAUGGGGACUCUAGCGGGACUGCCGGUGCAAACCGAGAGGAAGGUGGGGAUGACGUCAAAUCAUCACGGCCCUUACGUCCUGGGCUACACACGUGCUACAAUGGUAACGACAGAGGGCAGCCACCCCGCGAGGGGGAGCGAAUCCUUAAACGUUAUCUCAGUUCGGAUCGGAGUCUGCAACUCGACU